Sesamum indicum (sesame) is the source of this 420-nucleotide non-coding RNA. The record is from RefSeq and is a predicted model, not a curated record. Lineage: Eukaryota; Viridiplantae; Streptophyta; Magnoliopsida; Lamiales; Pedaliaceae.
UCUUAGAAGCCUAGCCCCAAACUCACGGCAACAAGGACGGUAAGCCGGCAACGAGGAUGGCCAUGACUCAAGAAUUUGUUGUUACUUCCCAAGAGCUUAUCACUCGGGGUUCAGUUCUGGAUAUUAUUGUGGAGAUGCUGCUGAUAUUGCUAAUACUGAAUCGUCGAGUGUUGCAAGAGAAGCUGCAAUACCUAGUGCUCUUUGUGCAAUACAUAAUGAAAUUACCCAUAUUGGUCUAUUUAUAAUGCUCUUUGUGCUCAUGUGGAUGACUUUGUUGCUGGCAUUUUCUGUGUGUCUGUCCGAGCUUGUAUAGAAAACUUAUUUGCUUGUGAAGGUGGUCAUAUUUUUAUUUUUUUAAAUUGAACAAAAUGUUGGAACUCUAGUGUUGAAGAUGCUUUGUGGUGACUAUUCUUUGAAUGG